Helianthus annuus (common sunflower) is the source of this 1455-nucleotide long non-coding RNA. RefSeq lists it as uncharacterized. Lineage: Eukaryota; Viridiplantae; Streptophyta; Magnoliopsida; Asterales; Asteraceae. The transcript has 5 exons. The record is from RefSeq and is a predicted model, not a curated record.
UGUUUUCAUUCAUUGUUCUAUUGUUUUUUUCAGCUAAAUUACGGUUUGUGUUAUGUGGAACCUGUAUGAUGCAUGAUUAGAUGAAAUUAUUGUGUAGUUAAUCAUUAACGUGUUUGCAACGCGGCUGUGUGCUACCAUUGAUUUUAUUUAAUUAUUAAUGGGUUGUUUCAGAUGGUUAUAUAGCCUGUUAUUUGGAGUCGUCUAUUGCGUCUUCCUGUUUAUUUCAUUUGUUUCAUGAGCAAAUUGGUACUGUAAAGUGUAAAAGUUACUCUAUAUACUCUACAAACAGUUUUAACCUAUAAGAAGUUGAAACUUUAUCAUGGGUGGUAUUUACGUUCUUCUGAAUUCUGAUGACAUUUUCAGAAAUGGUAUAUCUUCCUAUAAAACCUGAAUUUGAUUUUAGUUCUUUUGUUGGUAGUCUAUCAUGAUCAACGCCCGACAAUCUGCAAUGUGAACCAUUCUCCUCCCUUUUAUUAGUUUUCAUUUUCCAUGACUUUUAAGAGAGACAAACAUGAGGAGGAUAGAGAGAUGUGUAAGAUAAAGAGAGAGAUGGUCGAGUAAGUUGUGGCGAUUUAAUCGGUGAUGGUGUUAUUUGGUCUGUGGUGGCGUGAUGGAGCAAGUCGGUGUAGUGGCAGGGUAAGUUAGAAGAGUUAUUUUAGGGUUUAUCAUGAUAAAAAAUUUGGAAGAUUUGAUGAUCAUCAGACUACUGUUUGAUAGAUUUAGCUUAGUGUUCGAAAUUAGAACCUCUAAAUGCUAGAAAGCCUUUCACAGCUCGAGAACCAAAACUCCUUGAUGCUAGAAAUUGGCGGUGCAGGGUUUGAAAACAUUGGGGAAACUAAGGGUUCUGUUUUCUGUUCUCAUUCACAAUGGAUAUUAUGGUACUUGAACAACAAAUCAUCAACUAAACAGAGUAAGAGCUGAAUCGACCAAGAUUACACUGAUUACAUAAUCAUUGUUUUCGACAACUUUAGUGGGAAUUUGGUGGUCGAUGGGAGCAUGGUCAACAUACGAGUGGUGGGGUAUACUGCAGGAAGAUUUUUAUACUCGCGUUUUCUUUCAUCAGCAAGGCCAAAAGUGAAAAUAUCUCUAUAAAGGGUUGUCACUUGGCGCCAAUUUACUUCAGCGAGGUUUCUCGUGUGGAGGCAGUACGGUUUCCGGGGGAACGUUGUAACCAAGUCUGACCAACUCAGCGCAGGCCCGGUUAAGACAACGUAGUGUGGGCAGAUCUUGGCUAGAGCCGCCGUUUAGACGGUGUGACAUUGGGUCAUUAAAAAAGAAAGUCACCGUUCAAAAAAAAAUUAAUAUCACAAUGUUACUUUACAGAGGAUCCUGUUGGAUUUUUUGAAUGGUGAAAAAGUUUCGGACAAGUGUUAUUAGAUGGUAUGAUAUGAUUCAAGACGAAGAUAUUUUGUUAUUGGUUACGAAGCACUCCAAAAAGCAGAACGAAUGCGAGGU